Molecule: ribosomal RNA, 279 nt
Filed under: uncultured bacterium
Lineage: Bacteria
Description: partial 16S ribosomal RNA
Rfam family: Archaeal small subunit ribosomal RNA
Source: RNAcentral
UGCCAGCCGCCGCGGUAAAACCAGCUCUUCAAGUGGUCGGGACUUUUAUUGGGCUUAAAGUGUCCGUAGCCGGUUAGAUAAGUUCCUGGUCAAAUCUGGCAGCUUAACUGUCAGUUCGCUAGGAAUACUAUCUUACUAGAGGGUGGGAAAGGUCUGAGGUACUCCAGGGGUAGCGGUGAAAUGCGAUAAUCCUUGGGGGACCACCAGUGGCGAAGGCGUCAGACUGGAACACGCCUGACGGUGAGGGACGAAAGCCAGGGGAGCGAACGGGAUUAGAUA